AAGAAGAAGAAAAGGACUAAUUUAGGAAGAUAAGCCAAAGUAAAGAGAAAGGAUACAUGAGAAAAAUAUUGGGGAAGAGAUAAUGAACCAAUAGGAUCCAAUGGGGAAAGCCAAAAGAAACAACCCUUUGAACAGAAACAUCUAAAGUAAAAGGAGGAAAAGAAAUCAACCGAGAUAAGCUGAGUAGUGGUGAGCGAAAGGCAAAACAUCCAAAAACCGACCGAAAGAAUGGCUUUAGAGCCAACCGAAGAGGGUGAGAGUCCCGUAUAGAGGGAGAGAAAAGAAGUAGAAUGAGAGAAAACUUAUUUGAAAAAAGGGGAACCAUCCUCUAAAGGUAAAUAAGUUACUUUGAGCGAUAGAGAAAAGUACCGUGAGGGAAAAUUGAAAAGAAAGUAGUUAACUAGUGAAAAGAACCGGAAUAAGUUAGUUUAUAAGCAGUUGGAAGUAAAACUGACAACGUACCUUUGGCAUAAUGGGUCAGCAAGUUGAUAAGUGAAGCAAGUAGGAAGGAACUAGAUGAAAAUAAAAAAAGUUUCACUAAUCAGACCCGAAACCAAGUGAUCUUACCAUGAACAAGUUAAAGGACUGAACGGUAGUCUGUAGCAAUAGGCACCGAAGAUUUGUGGUAGGGAGUGAAAAGCUAAUCUCACUUGGAGAUAGCUGGUAUUCCGCGAAAACUAUUUAAGUAGAACCUUAAGGAAAAGGUGGAUUAAGUCGAGCACUGGAUAUAAAGGCGAAUAAGUUUAAUUGGGGAGCAAAUCAAUCUCUAUCAAUUAUAUCUAAUCAACUAAAGGAUCCAUCAAUAAAAGAAUUAGGAGUCAGACUGUGGGGGAUAAGCUCCACGGUCAAGAGGGUAACAGCCCAGAGAUCCGAGAAUAAGGUCCCAAAAAGCUGACUAAGUGAAAGGAAUAGAGAGAAGAAGAAGACAAGCCUAAAGUGGGCUUGGAAGCAGCCAUCUAAGAAAGAAAGCGUAAUAGCUCAAGGCUCAAUUGUAGAAAAGAUAGAAAAUGUAAGGGUCUAAGUCAGAUACCGAAAUGGAUCACCGGCUUUGCAGCCAAAGCUGGAGUGGUAGCGGAACAUUCAGAGAGAUCUGAAGAGAGAAUGCUGACAUGAGUAACAAAAAAGAAUAAUAAGAAUAAUUCUCGCCAGGAGGAGAAGGGUUGUAUAGCAAUAGAGAAUAACUAUAUAUAAAGUAACGGUAUCUAAGAGAAGAUCGAUGAAGAAAGCUUACUAAUAAAACAGUGGUCGCACCCCCGCAAGUAUGCGGGGGGCGUGAAACACUCAGGAAAAAAGAUUAGUAAAAAAUAAACCGUACCCAAAACCGACACAGGUAUCCGAAGCGGCGAAUGAGACAAUCAUCUUGAAGGAACUCGGCAAAAUGCCUCUGUAACUUAGGAAGAAAGAGGGUGAUCUAAGAUCAUGACACAACACAGUAGGGAACGACUGUUUACUUAAAACACAAGACCUUGCUAAAACCUAUACGAUUUGAUGUAUAAGGUCUGACACCUGCCCAGUGCUAGUAAGAGUGAAUAAUAUAAUUUUGACUCUCUGGUUAACGGCAGCCGUAACUAUGACGGUUCUAAGGUAGCGUAAUACCUUGACUACUAAUUAUAGUCUUGCAUGAAUGGUGUAACGAUUUCCCUAGCUGUCUCCAAGAUGAACUCAGUGAAAUUGCAAUGGAGGUGAAAAUGCCUUCUACCCUUAGCUAGACGGGAAGACCCUUUGAAGCUUUACUGGAGAUAAAUAAAGUGGGCUAGCCAGAAAGAAAGGAAGGAUAGUAUCCGAUUGACCUCUCUUAGCAAAGAGUCCACAUUUAAUAUGUUUAUUGGACAGUUUAACUGGGGCGGUAGCCUCCCAAAAGGUAACGGAGGCGUUCGAAGGUAGAGUAUUAAUUGAAUAGAAAUCAAAUAAGAAGUAUAAUGGCAAAACUCUGCUUAACAGUGAGUCAGACUAGACAAACUGAGAGGUAACUCGGACAUAGUGAUCCGAUGAUAACAGAAUGGAAUGGUCAUCGCUAAACGGAUAAAAGCUACUCAAGGGAUAACAGAUUAAUCAGUCCUAAUAGUUCGAAUAGAGGGACUGGAUUGAUACCUCGAUGUCGACUCAUCUUAUCCUCGGGCUGCAGAAGGUCCGAAGGGUUCGGCUGUUCGCCGAGUAAAAAGGUACGUGAGUUGGGUUAAAUACGACGUGAGUCAGUAUGGACCCUAUCUACUAAGGGAAUAGGAAUUAAUUCUUAAUUAAAACCCAGUACGAGAGGAGCGGGGCUAGUGAACCAAUAGUGUACCUGUAGGCAGGGAAGCCACGUUCAUAAAGGAUAACUACUGAAAGCAUCUAAAGUAGGAAACCAAUAAGAAAAAAUACCUAAAAGAUACGUAGAAGAAAACUACGAGAUUA
Molecule: ribosomal RNA, 2394 nt
Filed under: Occasjapyx japonicus
Lineage: Eukaryota; Metazoa; Arthropoda; Diplura; Dicellurata; Japygidae
Description: bacterial LSU rRNA
Rfam family: Bacterial large subunit ribosomal RNA
Source: RNAcentral